UUUUUUUUUCCCCGGGGGGGGGAAUGUGCAAAGAACUUGAAGAGAGAGUUCAAGAGUACGUGAAACCGCUCGGAGCAAAACGGGUGGGCCCUCGAAGCUCGAACGGGGGGAUUCAACCCGUCGGCAGGAACGAUCGCCNGGCCGCGCAAAAAGCGAAGCACGGAUUCCGUACGGAACCGUGGCGCGGUCGAUCGAUGGCGAUCGCCGGCGGGCGCACUUCCCUCCUAGUAGAACGCUGCGACCGGUCGGGGUCGUAGGAGCUCCGUCGCCCUGACGGCGGACUCCGACAGCUCGUAAACGAUGUCCAUGGGACGAGGCGAUGGGAAGGUAUCCGUGCCGGCGUUCCCGUUUUCGUUCGCGCGAAUUCGGGUCCGGUCGGAAUUAUAUCCCGUCUCGCUCCGGUUGCAUCGCCCGACCGUGCGUACCUGGUCGAGCCUUCGGGCGAGACCGUGACGAGACUAAAAAACGCGCCCGCGCGCCGCCCUCCCAGUCCGGGGAGGAACGGUUCUCUCAUUCUUUGGAGGCGCGCGAGUCUGCUUCGACAGGCCCGGCCUUGGCUGCCGAACACCCAAUGUCCUGGUGGUCGGCAAGUCCAAGCGGUCCGUCGCCGGCCGUUGGUCGAGCAGGCUGCUGUCGUGGUGGCGCUCGUUGUCAGCGGCGAGUAGGUCGGUAACCCACCCGACCCGUCUUGAAACACGGACCAAGGAGUCUAACAUGUGCGCAAGUCGUUGGGUCGUCUUCCCCGAGACAAAACCCGUUCGGCGCAAUGAAAGUGAAGGCCACGCCUCGAACACAAAUGCUGGUGAAAGCGGGAUCCGCACCGUCAUUUCCUCGCGAAAUGCACGAAAGGGCGUCACGUGUGCUAAGCCCUGCCGGCGCACACG
This 884-nucleotide ribosomal RNA is filed under the name Cryptops sp. CMMI 20190413007. RNAcentral describes it as "partial large subunit ribosomal RNA". The record is from RNAcentral. Lineage: Eukaryota; Metazoa; Arthropoda; Chilopoda; Scolopendromorpha; Cryptopidae.